This 65-nucleotide transfer RNA is filed under the name Pseudocuneopsis sichuanensis. RNAcentral's name for it is "tRNA-Val". Lineage: Eukaryota; Metazoa; Mollusca; Bivalvia; Unionida; Unionidae. The record is from RNAcentral.
UCAAAAAGUAGUAUACAUUAUUACAAUUCGUUUACACCGAAUUAAAGGCUCUACACCCUUUUUGA